GAUGAACGCUGGCGGCGUGCCUAAUACAUGCAAGUCGAGCGAACAGACGAGGAGCUUGCUCCUCUGACGUUAGCGGCGGACGGGUGAGUAACACGUGUAUAACCUACCUAUAAGACUGGGAUAACUUCGGGAAACCGGAGCUAAUACCGGAUAAUAUAUUGAACCGCAUGGUUCAAUAGUGAAAGACGGUUUUGCUGUCACUUAUAGAUGGAUCCGCGCCGCAUUAGCUAGUUGGUAAGGUAACGGCUUAGCAAGGCGACGAUGCGUAGCCGAACUGAGAGGGUGAUCGGCCACACUGGAGCUGAGACACGGUCCAGACGCCUACGGGAGGCAGCAGUAGGGAAUCUUCCGCAAUGGGCGAAAGCCUGACGGAGCAACGCCGCGUGAGUGAUGAAGGUCUUCGGAUCGUAAAACUCUGUUAUUAGGGAAGAACAAAUGUGUAAGUAACUAUGCACGUCUUGACGGUACCUAAUCAGAAAGCCACGGCUAACUACGUG
Molecule: ribosomal RNA, 497 nt
Filed under: uncultured bacterium
Lineage: Bacteria
Description: partial 16S ribosomal RNA
Rfam family: Bacterial small subunit ribosomal RNA
Source: RNAcentral